GUACUUUUCAAAGCACAUGCACCAAAUAAAAACCAGGUGCUAAUUCUGUGACCACAAACUGGUUCCAGACAAAACUCAGUCUUUGAGUAACGUCUCUUGCCGGAGGGGACUUUGUAUAUAUCACCUAUUUAAAUGGUACCUUCCCAAAAAGACAGAGGCAAAGAAUAUUACUGGUUAAAAUGAAUACAGAACUAUCUGAAGGCUAUGCCUACCUUCCACAUUCUCAUUUGCCCAAAAUCUGAGCCCGAGGAGGCCACCCCGAGACUGGUGGCAUUCUGGCAUUGCACAGAGUCCAAUGGCAGGACAUUCUUUUGCCAGAACAGUUGUCUGGGUGCGUGCCUUGUCUGGUGCCCGUUAUCCUAAAACCCUUCUUGCUUGUCUCCUGUCUUGUAAACUGAAGACCUACGGCCUAGUGAGAUCCAUGAACGCAGAGGACGACUUCAUCAAAAAAGCCAAACUCGUGUAUUUCUUCAACACUCCGACUUGACCUAUGCCGAUGACUGGGGGAGUGAGGACGGAGGGGUACAGAGAAAAGGCAGCCAGCUUCUCCACGCCGGGCCACCCCUGUCCUUCAUCCUGAUGGUGACAGCGUCCACUCCUGCCUCUGCCAAGCGGUGGUCCAGGUGCGGAACAGUGGCUCUGAACAGGAGGGACAGGCAGCUCCCUGCGCCUCUCCAGCCGGGAGGCAGGCGGCAGAUAAACAAUGAGCCACAUAACAUCUGAUGAUGAAAUGAUUUCCACCAAUGGGAGGGUGUCAUAUUUGAACUGAAACUCUAAAUGACAAGAAACACCUAUGUCUCCAAAGAUGGGGGAGGAGGCAGGGCUUUCUGGAGAGCAGAAAUGGCAGGUGCAAAGGUCCUGGGGCUGGCGCUGUGGGCUGGAGGGAAGGCAGGGGCCAAAUAUUCAGGUCUUGUAGGCCAAGGCAAGGAGUUUAGGUAUUAUUUAAAUGUUAUUCCAAAACAAUUCUUUUUGAGACAGGGUCCCACUCUGUCACCCAGGCUACAGUGCAGUGGCACAAUCUCAGUUCACUGCAGCUUUCACCUUCUGGCCUCAGGCAAUCCUCCUGCCUCAGCCUCUCAAGUAGCUUGGACCACAGGUGCAUGCCACCACGCCCGGCUAAUUUUUUAAAUUAUUUGUAGAGACCAGGUCUCCCUAUGUUGCCCAGGCUUGUCUCAAACUGCUGGGCUCAAGCAGUCUUCCCACCUUGGCUUCCCAAAGUGCUGAGAUUACAGGUGUGAACCACCACGCCUGGUCCAAAAAGAAUUUUAAACCUGGGAAUUAUAUGAUCUAAUUUACUUCUUUAAAAAGUCACCCCUCCACUCCAUAGAAAAUGGACUGCAGGAGUAGAAGCCAGCAGACAGGUGGCACUGCAGGGAACCAGGGAACAUGAUGGUGGCUCAGAUUGCAGGGGCUGCUCAGCGAGAAGUGGAAGGACUUCAGAGAGAUUUGGAGGCAAAACCCACAGGCUUGCUGAUGAGUGGAACGGGUGGAGGUGUGUGAUGCAAUACUCAAAGGCAAGUCUCCAUGUAGAGAUUGAACCACUGCUCUGCUGAGAUGCAGAGGGCCAGGGAGGAGGCCAGCUUGGAAACAGCAUCGAAUGCGGCAGCUUAGUGAAUUGGAUAAGCCAGCCAGCUUGAGAUAGACGUUUGGGGGCAGCUGCUUGGAGAGCUUUGUCCAGGGACGUGGCUCCCGUCCAUCUGGUCAAGUGUGGACAUGCUCCAGCUGGACUUGAGGCAGCUCCUAUCUAGGUGGCCUGUCCCAUGCUGACAUUGCAGAAGUGGGAGCUACACAAACAGAAUCUUGCAGUUUGUAGGUAAACUACCUCCACAGGGGUUUUCUCAGAGACUAGAGUUUCAAGUGCAUCACAGCUGCCCAAAACUGCUAAGGUUGCAAGGCCCCAGAAGGAAGCCCUCCUGCACCCUCCCCUCCCACCUCCAGGGAGGAGCUAGCCUGGGAAGAAGUCUACCCUAUGUGGAAAGGCUUUCCAGGAAGCCAGUCCAACUUCAGGCCACUUAAGUUUACUUUUUGUGUAAAAUAAGUUCAUUAUUCAAACGUGGAGAUGGGAGGUCUGAAAAUAUAGGACAAUUCAACUCAAAGCCCUCAUUCUGAAAAUGAUGAGCCUGGGGACCCAGCAGGGCUAGGGUCAGCUCUGAUGAGCAGGGUCUGGCUGGAUUCAGAGCAAAUUAGGUCCCGCUGCUGCCCAGCCUACCACCUUGGGGAAGGCCAAGGGUUGGAGGGAGCCUUUUGUACAAACAAGCAAUGAGAAGAAAACACUCACUAGAUCACACUGCACUCCCAGGCGAUAAACCAAACUGGACUUUCCAAAGCCCUGGCACUUUUGAUCCGGCACUGGCUGGAGUCCCCCUGGGAGGGCCCUUGGCUGUGCUAUCGGCAACCAGGCCUGACUGAGCAGUGACUCAGCCAGGAGAGCUGAGGCGAUCCCCCUGGCCAAUCCCAGGACCUAGCCACACUCGGGAAGAGGAGAAAGAACUCCAGGGAUGAGUAAUCUUGCUCUAGCUGACUGGAGGAGGAAGGAGGGGCUGAGUAAUGCCUUAGCAAAGCCAGCACAAGCAUCCUGAUUCUAGAGGCUCAGUCUCACAAUCCGGGAAAUGGGCUGCAGGUGCACAUGACACAGAUCUGCUUUGAGGAUGAAAAAGGCAUCAUGGGAAGCUGCUGUCACAGUUGCGGGGUUGGAAGAUUUUUCAAUUCUAAAACCCCGUAAGUUGAGGAGUGGCCAUCCCAGAAGGAUCUGUUCACUGCUGAGCCCAGCUGGUGACAGUAGCUGUUGUAUCCCAAGAACUCUGAAGUUGUCCAGAUCAACCACCUGCACAGGCCCAGAAUACGUGGGGCAAGGAGCAAAAACACUGAAGAAGUCAGCCCUCUGAAAACCAAGGGCAGGGUGCCUGCCUACCACUGAGUCUUAAUCAGCACAGCAGAGAAUUUCUUCCCCUCCCCGUCCCACAUCAUCAAGCUGACUAGAACAAGAGCAGCAGAACAGGAGAGUGACACGCAGAAAGACACUCUCCAAGGUGUAGUGCAGAGGGCCGCCUCCUCGCCUCCCAUCCUCUCCCCCUCUCCAGCUUGCUCUCAUCUGUGCCCUGCGCAUGGGCUCUCCUGGGAAAAGCCAUUGUUGGGUGGCAGGAUUCUGAUGCCCCCCACGGGGACUGUGACAUCAGCAUUUGGUGGUGCUCAGAGGAAGAGAGAAAGAGAUGAAGAGGAGUGAGCAAGGCUUCAGGAGGGGGCACGCAGGAGACCAGCCCUGGAUUCAGACUUGAGCCUGGUCCACACCAGAGGCCGAUAGAAGGCUUGGAUUACAGCAGGGGCAGGUCAUACCACCCUUAACAAACUGCAGUCCCUACUGGCCAUUACACCGCAGAGCUGUGAGGAUGAUGGAUCUCCUGUUUGGAAGAGAAUGACCCAGGACGACAGGGGUGGCCAAACCAUGGUCUAAAUAUGAUAUCUGAAGAUGCUUAAUCUACAAAAGAAAAUCCAGUGUGAGGAAUAGGAGAUGGAAAUGUGGAGGCCUAGUGUCUAAGGGCUGGCAUUCAGGGGAAGAAUUACAUUUGUCUGUAAUCUCAAAGGCUAGGAAGGAUGGAGCUGGAUGGAUUUGGGAUCACCAUGAAAAGGACCUAUGACUGCAGCAUCCUCAGGAGACAGCUGGAUCAGCUAGAAAGCUUCAGAACGACACACAUCACUCUGCCAGACACCCACAUUGCUCCAGCUCCAGCAUCCGACAUCUGACCACAUGUAGGCAGCCACCGCUGCCCUGGCUCCACCAUUUCUCCCCAGGUCUAAGCUUAAGCCGCACUGCAUUGCUUCCAUUUCUUCGUGCUUGCUCUGUUCCCUUCUACCACAGGGGCUUUGUGCAAGCUCAGCCUCAACAUGGAUCUUCCCCCUUCUUCACCUGGUCAACAGCCACUCAUUCUUCAACCUUAGUUCGAGCAUCACCAACCUCCCAGGCUAUGUCAGUUCUCCCUGUUAGACACCCUGGCUUUUUCACAUAUCUUUUAUUCAAAGUAGUUACAUAUUAAAGCAUUCCAUUUGUGCAUACAA
Long non-coding RNA from Symphalangus syndactylus (siamang), 4053 nucleotides. RefSeq lists it as uncharacterized. Lineage: Eukaryota; Metazoa; Chordata; Mammalia; Primates; Hylobatidae. The record is from RefSeq and is a predicted model, not a curated record.